This 56-nucleotide transfer RNA is filed under the name Lichtheimia hongkongensis. RNAcentral's name for it is "tRNA-Ala". Lineage: Eukaryota; Fungi; Mucoromycota; Mucoromycetes; Mucorales; Lichtheimiaceae. The record is from RNAcentral.
UUAGUUUUAUAUAAUUUAUACAAAAACUUGCAAAUCUUAUAUUUACAAAAAUUUAA